Molecule: ribosomal RNA, 281 nt
Filed under: uncultured bacterium
Lineage: Bacteria
Description: partial 16S ribosomal RNA
Rfam family: Bacterial small subunit ribosomal RNA
Source: RNAcentral
AACAACGCUGGCGGCGUGCCUAAUACAUGCAAGUCGAACAGGGAAAGCCUUCGGGCGAGUACUAGUGGCGCACGGGUGAGUAACACGUGGGUAAUCUACCUUAAAGUGGGGAAUAACCAUCGAAGACUGGCUAAUACCGCAUAAGGCCACAGGAUCUGCGGAUCUAGGGGUUAAAGGAGGCAAUUCGCUUUAAGAUGAGCCCGCGCGGGAUUAGCUAGUUGGUGAGGUAACGGCUCACCAAGGCUCUGAUCUCUAGCUGGUCUGAGAGGAUGAUCAGCCAC